GGAUUAGAUACCCUGGUAGUCCCGACAGUAAACGAUGUAGAUUAGGUGUCGGGAGAGUCGAUCCUCUCGGUGCCGUAGUUAACACAUUAAAUCUACCACCUGGGGAGUACGGUCGCAAGACUGAAACUCAAAGGAAUUGACGGGGACCCGCACAAGCGGUGGAGCAUGUGGUUUAAUUCGAGGCUACGCGAGAAACCUUACCUAGGCUUGACAUGCUAGGAGUAGUCCUGAUGAAAGUCGGGGCGACCGUAUCCAAUCGGAGCUUAGUACAGGUGCUGCAUGGCUGUCGUCAGCUCGUGCCG
Molecule: ribosomal RNA, 302 nt
Filed under: uncultured bacterium
Lineage: Bacteria
Description: bacterial SSU rRNA
Rfam family: Bacterial small subunit ribosomal RNA
Source: RNAcentral